AUUAUGGAGAGUUUGAUCCUGGCUCAGGACGAACGCUGGCGGCGUGCCUAAUACAUGCAAGUCGAGC
This 67-nucleotide ribosomal RNA is filed under the name Paenisporosarcina quisquiliarum. RNAcentral describes it as "partial 16S ribosomal RNA". It matches the Rfam family "Bacterial small subunit ribosomal RNA", at positions 1 to 67 of the family's 1533-position model. Lineage: Bacteria; Bacillati; Bacillota; Bacilli; Caryophanales; Caryophanaceae. RNAcentral also lists the same sequence under 2 other names. The record is from RNAcentral.